RNAcentral lists this ribosomal RNA (2933 nucleotides) under Escherichia coli. RNAcentral's name for it is "23S ribosomal RNA". It matches the Rfam family "Bacterial large subunit ribosomal RNA". Lineage: Bacteria; Pseudomonadati; Pseudomonadota; Gammaproteobacteria; Enterobacterales; Enterobacteriaceae. The record is from RNAcentral.
GGGUUGUGAGGUUAAGCGACUAAGCGUACACGGUGGAUGCCCUGGCAGUCAGAGGCGAUGAAGGACGUGCUAAUCUGCGAUAAGCGUCGGUAAGGUGAUAUGAACCGUUAUAACCGGCGAUUUCCGAAUGGGGAAACCCAGUGUGAUUCGUCACACUAUCAUUAACUGAAUCCAUAGGUUAAUGAGGCGAACCGGGGGAACUGAAACAUCUAAGUACCCCGAGGAAAAGAAAUCAACCGAGAUUCCCCCAGUAGCGGCGAGCGAACGGGGAGCAGCCCAGAGCCUGAAUCAGUGUGUGUGUUAGUGGAAGCGUCUGGAAAGGCGCGCGAUACAGGGUGACAGCCCCGUACACAAAAAUGCACAUACUGUGAGCUCGAUGAGUAGGGCGGGACACGUGGUAUCCUGUCUGAAUAUGGGGGGACCAUCCUCCAAGGCUAAAUACUCCUGACUGACCGAUAGUGAACCAGUACCGUGAGGGAAAGGCGAAAAGAACCCCGGCGAGGGGAGUGAAAAAGAACCUGAAACCGUGUACGUACAAGCAGUGGGAGCACAGAGCAAUCUGUGUGACUGCGUACCUUUUGUAUAAUGGGUCAGCGACUUAUAUUCUGUAGCAAGGUUAACCGAAUAGGGGAGCCGAAGGGAAACCGAGUCUUAACUGGGCGUUAAGUUGCAGGGUAUAGACCCGAAACCCGGUGAUCUAGCCAUGGGCAGGUUGAAGGUUGGGUAACACUAACUGGAGGACCGAACCGACUAAUGUUGAAAAAUUAGCGGAUGACUUGUGGCUGGGGGUGAAAGGCCAAUCAAACCGGGAGAUAGCUGGUUCUCCCCGAAAGCUAUUUAGGUAGCGCCUCGUGAAUUCAUCUCCGGGGGUAGAGCACUGUUUCGGCAAGGGGGUCAUCCCGACUUACCAACCCGAUGCAAACUGCGAAUACCGGAGAAUGUUAUCACGGGAGACACACGGCGGGUGCUAACGUCCGUCGUGAAGAGGGAAACAACCCAGACCGCCAGCUAAGGUCCCAAAGUCAUGGUUAAGUGGGAAACGAUGUGGGAAGGCCCAGACAGCCAGGAUGUUGGCUUAGAAGCAGCCAUCAUUUAAAGAAAGCGUAAUAGCUCACUGGUCGAGUCGGCCUGCGCGGAAGAUGUAACGGGGCUAAACCAUGCACCGAAGCUGCGGCAGCGACGCUGAUGCGUUGUUGGGUAGGGGAGCGUUCUGUAAGCCUGUGAAGGUGUACUGUGAGGUAUGCUGGAGGUAUCAGAAGUGCGAAUGCUGACAUAAGUAACGAUAAAGCGGGUGAAAAGCCCGCUCGCCGGAAGACCAAGGGUUCCUGUCCAACGUUAAUCGGGGCAGGGUGAGUCGACCCCUAAGGCGAGGCCGAAAGGCGUAGUCGAUGGGAAACAGGUUAAUAUUCCUGUACUUGGUGUUACUGCGAAGGGGGGACGGAGAAGGCUAUGUUGGCCGGGCGACGGUUGUCCCGGUUUAAGCGUGUAGGCUGGUUUUCCAGGCAAAUCCGGAAAAUCAAGGCUGAGGCGUGAUGACGAGGCACUACGGUGCUGAAGCAACAAAUGCCCUGCUUCCAGGAAAAGCCUCUAAGCAUCAGGUAACAUCAAAUCGUACCCCAAACCGACACAGGUGGUCAGGUAGAGAAUACCAAGGCGCUUGAGAGAACUCGGGUGAAGGAACUAGGCAAAAUGGUGCCGUAACUUCGGGAGAAGGCACGCUGAUAUGUAGGUGAAGCGACUUGCUCGUGGAGCUGAAAUCAGUCGAAGAUACCAGCUGGCUGCAACUGUUUAUUAAAAACACAGCACUGUGCAAACACGAAAGUGGACGUAUACGGUGUGACGCCUGCCCGGUGCCGGAAGGUUAAUUGAUGGGGUUAGCGCAAGCGAAGCUCUUGAUCGAAGCCCCGGUAAACGGCGGCCGUAACUAUAACGGUCCUAAGGUAGCGAAAUUCCUUGUCGGGUAAGUUCCGACCUGCACGAAUGGCGUAAUGAUGGCCAGGCUGUCUCCACCCGAGACUCAGUGAAAUUGAACUCGCUGUGAAGAUGCAGUGUACCCGCGGCAAGACGGAAAGACCCCGUGAACCUUUACUAUAGCUUGACACUGAACAUUGAGCCUUGAUGUGUAGGAUAGGUGGGAGGCUUUGAAGUGUGGACGCCAGUCUGCAUGGAGCCGACCUUGAAAUACCACCCUUUAAUGUUUGAUGUUCUAACGUUGACCCGUAAUCCGGGUUGCGGACAGUGUCUGGUGGGUAGUUUGACUGGGGCGGUCUCCUCCUAAAGAGUAACGGAGGAGCACGAAGGUUGGCUAAUCCUGGUCGGACAUCAGGAGGUUAGUGCAAUGGCAUAAGCCAGCUUGACUGCGAGCGUGACGGCGCGAGCAGGUGCGAAAGCAGGUCAUAGUGAUCCGGUGGUUCUGAAUGGAAGGGCCAUCGCUCAACGGAUAAAAGGUACUCCGGGGAUAACAGGCUGAUACCGCCCAAGAGUUCAUAUCGACGGCGGUGUUUGGCACCUCGAUGUCGGCUCAUCACAUCCUGGGGCUGAAGUAGGUCCCAAGGGUAUGGCUGUUCGCCAUUUAAAGUGGUACGCGAGCUGGGUUUAGAACGUCGUGAGACAGUUCGGUCCCUAUCUGCCGUGGGCGCUGGAGAACUGAGGGGGGCUGCUCCUAGUACGAGAGGACCGGAGUGGACGCAUCACUGGUGUUCGGGUUGUCAUGCCAAUGGCACUGCCCGGUAGCUAAAUGCGGAAGAGAUAAGUGCUGAAAGCAUCUAAGCACGAAACUUGCCCCGAGAUGAGUUCUCCCUGACUCCUUGAGAGUCCUGAAGGAACGUUGAAGACGACGACGUUGAUAGGCCGGGUGUGUAAGCGCAGCGAUGCGUUGAGCUAACCGGUACUAAUGAACCGUGAGGCUUAACCUUACAACGCCGAAGGUGUUU